CUGUAGCUCAGCUGGUCAGAGCAGGGGACUCAUAAUCCCUUGGUCGCGGGUUCAAGUCCCGCCGGGG
This 67-nucleotide transfer RNA is filed under the name Brevibacterium senegalense. It matches the Rfam family "tRNA", at positions 5 to 66 of the family's 71-position model. Rfam says of the family: Transfer RNA (tRNA) molecules are approximately 80 nucleotides in length. Lineage: Bacteria; Bacillati; Actinomycetota; Actinomycetes; Micrococcales; Brevibacteriaceae. The record is from RNAcentral.